AUUGAGCGCUGGCGGCAUGCCUUACACAUGCAAGUCGAACGGCAGCACGGGUGCUUGCACCUGGUGGCGAGUGGCGAACGGGUGAGUAAUAUAUCGGAACGUACCUUAUUGUGGGGGAUAACGCAGCGAAAGCUGUGCUAAUACCGCAUAAUCCCUAAGGGGGAAAGCGGGGGGCCGUAAGGCCUCGCGCAAUUAGAGCGGCCGAUACCUGAUUAGCUAGUUGGUGAGGUAAAGGCUCACCAAGGCAACGAUCAGUAGCUGGUCUGAGAGGACGAUCAGCCACACUGGGACUGAGACACGGCCCAGACUCCUACGGGAGGCAGCAGUGGGGAAUUUUGGACAAUGGGGGCAACCCUGAUCCAGCAAUGCCGCGUGAGUGAAGAAGGCCUUCGGGUUGUAAGGCUCUUUUGUCAGGGAAGGAACAGCAGCUCUAACACAGUUUGCGAAUGACGGUACCUGAAGAAUAAGCACCGGCUAACUACGUGCCAGCAGCCGCAGUAA
RNAcentral lists this ribosomal RNA (501 nucleotides) under uncultured bacterium. RNAcentral describes it as "partial 16S ribosomal RNA". It matches the Rfam family "Bacterial small subunit ribosomal RNA", at positions 30 to 523 of the family's 1533-position model. The record is from RNAcentral.